This 2331-nucleotide long non-coding RNA is filed under the name Priapulus caudatus. RNAcentral's name for it is "uncharacterized LOC106820780". The record is from RNAcentral. Lineage: Eukaryota; Metazoa; Priapulida; Priapulimorpha; Priapulimorphida; Priapulidae.
GUUCGAGGCGAGCAGCGUCAUGCGCCGAGCGUGCAGGACGUCGUAGGAUCUGUUGUGAAGCUAGGUCGUGCCACAGAGUCGGAUAGCGUGUGAUGCUUAAUCGCCAACGAGUUCCUCAUCGAAUGAAGCCGCGUGAAGCCAGCGUAUGUGUGUGCCAUCGUAUCUGCUACCGCCGCCACCGCUGCUGCUGUUGCCCCCAUCGCUGCCUCACGGAUGUGACGCGGCGACGAAAUGGACGUGGCACUUUGUGAAUAUGUCCAGAAUUAACUGUGUAACGUGGUUGCAUAUUUUCUGCUAUAUCUUAUGUUUGUGUUUUCCAUGGGAGAACUGUAAUUAAUUAAUUGAAUAGUUCAUUUAUUGACUGACUGAGAUGCGGCAGACAGCCGGGGAAGGGGAGGUCGGUGACGGUGUGACCGUCUCGUCGCUCAGUCUUGCUCGCGUUAACGACGACGUUUAUAUCAGCAUGCUGCUAAUGCUUGUAUGAUGAAGCCAUAUAUUCGGACACGAUUUUCUGCCAAUAGAUUCGUGUCAGAGUGGGUAUGUGCGUGCAUGCGUGCGUGCGUGCGUAUGUAUGGGGUGUGUAGAGAAGGGGGUCAAUCACCUUUGAACAUGGUGUUGUCUCAGGGUGGGUUGAGGCUGUGGUUGAGGUAAAUAGAAGUAUUAUCCCAGACACAUCAAUGCACGGGUGGCAAAUCCAGCGUUAAUAAUGACUUUCAUCUGUUGCUCAGCCGACAGAGAUACAUGCCCAAUGUUGUCUCUGCUUGUUGCGUGUACACUGCACGUCAAUCUCACGUGUCAGUGUCGUGACUAGAGGUGGGUCGGUUGAAGCUUUGCUCGCGCCAGUGAAGCCGUACGUUACCUCCCUGGCGAGUGCUGCUAGCACACGUCCAAGCCGCGUACUAAUACGCAACACGCGUAGUGCCGACGUACUGAAUACGUUCGCUGUCGGCUGAGCAAAAAUAUUCUCUGUCCCCCAUCAUCGCAUUUUCGGAAAUAUGUUUUCCGCUUGGGCGUUAUCUCGCCAACUAGGCAUGACAGUCUCCUCGUGCAUGUAGAGCUAGUUUAUACAGCCGUUGCCGUGCUACAAAAUAGCGAUGAUGGUAGUAACUACAUGUGCUCUACCACUGCGUCGUUGCUUAGGAAAUGAGGAUAGCAUUUCCGCGUGUCUUCAUUGUGUGGGCGCAGCGCGCUAAUGGUGCAUUCCAGUUUUUAGAACCACCCCGAACUAAUUAUAUAAACGGGCGAGCAACUAACCUCUCUGGGGCUCUGUAACGUAAAAUGCAGCACAGAGCAAGCUGGGUGUAGGAGAAAGAGAGAGAGAGAGAGAGAUAGAGAGAGAGAGAGAGAGAGGUGGCGUCUACGUGAUGACGCGGUGCUGCCGUGUUUAUGAUGAGCCAUCUGAAUAUAACCAGCUUACAGCUACGAUAACAGACGCUUCACUGUUGUCUUUUCGUCUGCAUGGUGCAGUUAGCAGAAAUACCGGCUGCGUGACUCUCCAGCCGCUAACACAGGCUAGCAAGCACUCUUGGUGCGGAAUGUGUGCAAUACGUAGACCGGCAGUGAUUAUAGUUCACCUCUUUUUGACCUCUCGGGAUCAAGAGGAGUACUCCUAUGCGGUGUUCAAUAGAGUUUCUUCAACGAUACCUCACAGUGGCACCCUCUAUCGGCGAUGUGGGCUCAGAUUAUUAUCUUUGUCAUUGUUUUCGGCAUGCUUCUACGGAAUCCCAACAUGUAUCACUUAUUGUCGUGGUGAUAUUGAGUCCAUAUGUGGACUUUCCCUGCCCUGUAAGGACAAAGUGUCCGCCCAUCUCUCCCCUCUGUUCGCAUGAGUCACUGUUGGUCAGGCAAAGACAUCGUACUGGCUAGAGCAUGUAUAAUACUGUAUGUGAUAGUUUUUUAAUUGCUAGGUCUAAUGUACCAGUAUUCCUUAUUUAUUACGUAAUAUCUUGCGGAACAACGCGUACGCGAGUUUUUUCGUUUAAUGCCGUUUUGUGGUCUUUUGACGGCUUGAGUGUGUGAUGACGACGACGAUGACGACGACGACGACGACAAUGACAAUGAUGUCAUAUUUCUAGUUGCCCUGUAAGUUGUAGUUACUCAUCGUUUGCUGACAUUUUUUCUUUGUAUACUGUUUGAAAAUGCGGUUGCGGCCGUGUUCCGAAGGUGGACAUUUAUGUUGAUGUAUAUAAAAGGAACGUUGUAUUAUUUAUAUACAUACAUGGAAGUGCACUUUAUGUUUGAUGGGGACUAGGAUAAAGUGAGGUUAUUGGCUGUGCUUAUGUAAUCUGUAGCAAGGCAUUUACUUGUCCAGUAAUCUAUUCAUGAUAUCGA